UGGUUGUGAAUUCCUUUUUAAAACUCAGAUCAGUGUUUUUAAGGAAUUUGACAAUCUUUUAAAGUGAUGGAGCUCAUCUUUUCUCCCUUUCCCCCGAAAAUCGUUUGUGGACGCUCAAUACAGGCCCUCCUUCAUGUAUCAGUACACACCCAGGUAGUUUUGGGAAAGCUCAGGCUUUGAAUUUAGAUCAGUGGUGUUGGGUAGAAAUGUGUCAUUUUUAAUAUUCUGGUAGCCAAAUCUGUGUUUCAACCUGUAAUCAAAAUAAAUACAUGAUGAGGUAAAACUGUUGCAUAUUGUACACUUCGAGUCUGACUCCCGUCAGUGAAGCACAUUUCAAGUGUUUGGUUGCCACAUGUGGCUCAUGUGGCAGACCCACACAGAUUCAGACCUUAAUCUUUCUUCAUAAGGCCCCUGUUCUCUUAAUGACAAACACUGCAAUUCCAGCAGCUGCACUGACCUCAGAGCCCAAUAGAACCUGGAGGUCUCAGUCUCGGUUGUGUGAAUGAAUGGUCUUAUUUUCUUCAUCUGGGCUGUAAGUCUGCCUUUAUUUCUUUGCCAUCUUUUUGUUUACUGUGCCUAGUGGCAGAAAAAGUGACCACAGCUUGCAUAUCUUCUACAGCGUCACAGACUUCUGUUGCCAAGGACUAGGGGGCGUUUCUGAAUUCACACGGUUCGUUGUUCUUACAAAUACUGCGGCAAAAUGGUAUACAAGAUGUCUGUACUAAAUACUGACCGUUCAGCAGAGGGUACCUGCGGGCAGCCGACGGAGGUCAGCCAGGAUGCUGGAGAGAUUGUAAAGUCGUUUGUUUGUAGUGGCAUGCGAAAUGGUUGAGAAACACCAUACAAGGGACACCUAAUUCUCCUCUGCCAGGAAUCCUGCUGGGGAGAUGGUGUGAUCAGUGAGCAUCAGAACCCACACAGCAACCUCCUCAGCAUACUUUUGAGUUAGGCAAAGAAACAGAGUAUUGGUGACGAAUGGAGGAUUGGGGAUGACAUAGAUUUUGCUGAGGGAAGUAAUGGAAAGAGCGAUAUUCCUGAAGGUAGAACUGGGUUAACCUGGAUGAGUGUGACUAUGAUAAAAGUCUCUGUUCAAGACUUCAUUUCUCAAGAGAGACAGCAAAUUCCAGGUUGUGAUUAAUGUGAUUGCUGGUUAAUAAUUCUGAUAGUGACUGCAAACGUGAGAAUGGUAAAGCUGUGCCCAGCACCGUAGGUUGAGGGCUCCCGUUGUCAGCUGUACUUGAUCUCUUGUCCUCUGACAUAGAUACUUGAAAAGCCUGUCCUCAAAAGAAAAGUCUCAGUGCUCUGAAUCAUUAACGAUACUUAGCCUUCCACCAUUCGUAGGAGACCUUGGCAAGAAUUAAAGUCGUCAUUCUUCAUUCCAGCAAAAAUGUUCAUCUGGUCUGCCAGUAAACCAGGCAUCCGUUUUUUGCUGGGCCAAUUCACGUCAGACUGCGUGACAAGAGUUAGUUACGCCAUUAGAAAGGUCUGCUUAAUUCUUGGCGUGACAUAUGAGAUUUGAUAAAAGAUGUAUGCUUAAACACACUGGGGGGGCACUUUGCCCUCAAUUUUGUAACAGAUACACAUGUGUCACAUGUGAGAAAUUCCUGGAGUUAACCAGAUGAUUGAGCUUUGAAGGGGCAGGACAGGGAGGGUUACUUGCUUCCCGGGAGGAGUAGUGCAGAGAUCUUUACCAGCAGAGGAGGUGUAGGGUGAGGCAGAAACUGGACAAGUAAACAGAAGCUCUUGACCUUGGAGAAGAAGAGUCACGAUGUUUUUUAGUAAUGGUUUUUGGUUUGUACCAGACUUCUUCCUCUGGCUGAACGGUUGAGCCACACCAUAUGAAACCCUUGAGAUGGUGCAGGGAACCCUUCUUUUCCUUAAGACCCAGAGGUUUUGUUUCUAAACAAAAUCAAAUUCAGAGCAUCACUGGACUGUACACCCGAAACUGAUACAGGGUUGUGUGUCAGAUGGAUCCGAU
Long non-coding RNA from Mirounga angustirostris (Northern elephant seal), 1978 nucleotides. RefSeq lists it as uncharacterized. Lineage: Eukaryota; Metazoa; Chordata; Mammalia; Carnivora; Phocidae. The transcript is spliced from 2 exons. The record is from RefSeq and is a predicted model, not a curated record.